This 433-nucleotide ribosomal RNA is filed under the name uncultured bacterium. RNAcentral describes it as "partial 16S ribosomal RNA". It matches the Rfam family "Bacterial small subunit ribosomal RNA", at positions 29 to 507 of the family's 1533-position model. The record is from RNAcentral.
AACGAACGCUGGCGGCAUGCCUAACACAUGCAAGUCGAACGAGACCUUCGGGUCUAGUGGCGCACGGGUGCGUAACGCGUGGGAACCUGCCCUUAGGUUCGGAAUAACUCCCCGAAAGGGGUGCUAAUACCGGAUAAUGUCCUCGGACCCAAGAUUUAUCGCCCUUGGAUGGGCCCGCGUUGGAUUAGCUAGUUGGUAGGGUAAAAGCCUACCAAGGCGACGAUCCAUAGCUGGUCUGAGAGGAUGAUCAGCCACACUGGGACUGAGACACGGCCCAGACUCCUACGGGAGGCGGCAGUGGGGGAUAUUGGACAAUGGGCGAAGGCCUGAUCCAGCAAUGCCGCGUGAGUGAUGAAGGCCUUAGGGUUGUAAAGCUCUUUUACCCGGGAUGAUAAUGACAGUACCGGGAGAAUAAGCACCGGCUAACUCCGUG